Molecule: long non-coding RNA, 1100 nt
Filed under: Nicotiana benthamiana
Lineage: Eukaryota; Viridiplantae; Streptophyta; Magnoliopsida; Solanales; Solanaceae
Description: long non-coding RNA (NBEN_LNC002896)
Source: RNAcentral
ACACUUCCCUUUAAAUAAGUAUAAAUCUAAAACACCCUCAAAAAUAUGAUUAUCAAGAAAAUUAUAUAAGUUAAGACCCUCAAAAACCCAAUUUAAACCCUAAAGUCUCAUACCCAUUCAUCACUCUUAUCCUAAACAUACCCCACCCCACCCACCACUCCCAACUCCCCACCUCAAUUCCCACAUGCAUUAACAAAAAGACUCCUAAUUUCAGCUCCUCAUUAUCAAACCCUAAAGAAAUCAACCCUGUUCACAACACUUCUUUUUCUCCAACACCUCCAUUAACAACCCAACAAAACAAAAGCACCACAAAAAAGAUCAAAUUUUGAGGAAUACCCUUUUCUUGUUUUUGUUGAAUAAGCCAAAAAAGCAAAAAAGAUCAAAUUUUGAGGAAUACCCUUUAGUUGUUUUUGUAGAAUAAGCAAAAGAAAACUAAAAAAGAUCAAAUUCUGAGAGGUAUACUGAAAUUAUAAGAAAUACCCUUUCUUGUUUUUGCUGAAUAACUAGAUUUUAGCUAAGCCAAGCUAAGUUUGAGCUCAAGAAAAAUCUUUUCUUGGGCAAUCACUGUCCUUGAAGAGAGAGAAAAUAAAGAGGUCUUUUUCUGUUUUUAUAGCACACCCGACCAAGCUAGACCUGAUAGCAGUAGAGAGAGAAACAAGAGAGAGAGAAGACUGUGUGUGUGUGUACAGAGAGGUUAAAUUAAUGGCUCAUUCUCUCUCUCUUUCUUGCUCCGUGUACUCUAUCAGAAUGAAGUUCAAGGAAAAUUGAAUCACAACCGUUGAUUGAACCGUACAUGAUGAAUUUUGACCGUUGAAUUGGGAAGUAUGAUAUGACAGGAGACAUGUGCCACCAUUCUUCAAUGGUCAUUGUCAGAGUACGGACCGUCCAAUAUAAUAUUGCACCUGAUCAAGAAAGAGAAAAAGAGAAAGAAAGAAGAAGAAGGUGAAAGAUUUUGCAUAUAUCUAAGUGAAAAUACAAAGAGUGGCAGAUAUUUUUUUCCCUGCUUUAGGUACUUAUACUAUUAUGCAUUAAUGGUUGUACAUUUUUAUCUGCUGAUGUCAUGAACCAGAGUGAAAAUAACAAUGUGAUUUACAUUUGAG